CGUCCGCAGGAAUGCGUCGAACGGGGCGGUGACAGUGACGUAGUUGGUUUGACCACGUGCCCUCUGUCUCCAUGGAAACAGCGACACAUGCCUAUGCCGGGUUUAGCGCCUGUCGCUCCCCCAGCGGUGUGAGCUGCGGGGAGUCACCCGCCGCGGGGCCCGGACCUGGAGCCAACGUUAAACGUCAGUAGGGGAGCAGCGUUCCCCCCCCCCUCCCCGUGUGCACAAGGUGGGGGCAGGGAGCCCUGGGGCCGGGCUGGCCACGGGAGAGAAACGCGCUGACCGGGCUGGGCUACACCGGGCGUCGGUGAAACUCCUCCAGCCCCAAGCAAUGCUCAGUCUCGCGCUGUGCCCGCUGCGGCACGUUAGCGGCGGGUGUCUGUUGGAAGCGCGCGCCUGAUGCGCCUGCUUUAAUUUGGGACCCGAGUGUGAACCUCCCAGUCUGCAGGGUGAAAUUGACCGGAGUGUGGCUGGGCCGCUCGAGUCCAGUCCAGCGAUCGGCUCCCUUAAGCCUUGUUGUGAGCGUUUAAGUCAGAUGUACGGUAUUAUGGAAAACCCAGUGGACCUUUGUUUUACUGAAGAAGGAUGUAGCCAUGACAUAGUUCUUGAGAAACAAGUGUUUAGAUCCAAAGUGCCAGAGUCUCAUGUUCAACUUGCUUGUAAUCUACAUUACUGUGCUUUUCCUUUGAAUGGAAAUGAGCUAUGCAUCUGGAAUACUGGCGAUAGCCCUGCUCAUCAUCAGCCAUUGCACUUGGUAGGACAUCACCAUUCAAUCACAGCACUGGCGUUUGGAAGUAAAAUCAAUCCACUUCUGGUCUGCUCUGCUUCUUGUGACUAUGUGAUAGUAUGGAACCUGGAUGAGUGCAUAAAGAAAGCACUACAAGGAUUAAUGCCUCGAGGAAUUGUUAUAGGAACUCUUUUGGGAAUGGUACUUUAUGUACGAUUUAGUCCAGAUGACCAGGCUGUGGCAGUAUGUGCUGGAAAUCGGAUAUAUAUGUUAAAUGCAAAGAAUGAGGCUAUAUUAACUGAGUUGGAAGGCCAUCUGGCUCCAGUGACUGCAGCUGAGUUUUGCACCUGGGAGAGAAAUAUGCUUAUAUCAGUCUCUGAAGACAGAAGCUUUAAGGUUUGGGACUAUUGUACUGGAUUGCUAAUAUACCAAUCAGCAGUGUUAACAGCAUUUCCUUUGCUAAGUCUGUUCAUUGAUGAAGAAAAUAAACAGAUUAUUACAGGAUGUGCUGAUGGGCAGCUUUGGAUCUUCAGUUUGCUCAGUGGACACCAGUACCGUUGUGUGGUACAUAUAAACUUAAAGAAAGAGCGAGAUAAAUUCUACAGCAAAACUGGAAAAUCUAGACAACAAUUAGAUCAAAUACAGAAGUUUUCUAAGCUGUACAGCACAAAUGACAUGAGACCAGAAGAAACAGUGGAAACAACAUUGCCAGUCCUCAGAAUUGAACACUGUGACCAAUCAAUAAAUUUAGGCAAAGAAGAAAAGUUUUUUCCUGCUGUAAAUGCCAGAUGUUUGUGGAUAGGAAGCUCUACUGGUUUGUUCAUAAUUAACUUGGCAAACUUUGAAUUAGAAGCUGUUUUACAUUAUAAAGAUUACAGCGGCCUCACCAUUCAAUUUGCUGGAUCAUGCGCAUUAAUGAGGAAGGCAGUUAAUGGGAAGGUUUUCUGCUUGCUUACUUCGAUGUUUGAAAAUACGAUUGCUUUGCUGGAGAUUAACCUUGCUGCUUUGAUGAGAUCUCAGCAGAGUGAUUUUCUCUUAUGUGGAAAGGAGAAGAGGCUUUCAGUUAUUGCAAGUUGCUCUCUGUUGCCAAAUUCUCCAUUGUGUACUGAGUCUUUCAAGAAGGAAAGCUGCAAACCUACCAAUAAAAAAAAACUUGGUACGAAGAGCACAAUGAAAGACCAGUCACUGGUUUUCCACAGUAAAAUUAAGUCAUCAGGUUACACAACAGCACCGCAAAUGACCAUGUUUUCUCCAAAGACUAACUUGAAGAAAAAUAACAAGAUAUCAGAGUGGAAGAGCAGUUGCAAACGAAAAAAUAAAGAAUAUCUAUUGGAAAAUUCUCCUCCAACUAAAUCUGAGAGACAGAUAUCAGUAGCUAAUAAACCAACUUCUAUUUGCUGUAUUCAGUAUUCAGGGGAUGGAGAGCUGUUAGCUUGUGGCCUAGCUGACAAAUCUUUACUGGUAUUCAAUUCCAAUCUGACAGGAACACCGGCUGUUUUUUCAGGUCAUGAUGGUGCAAUUAACUCUGUUGGCUGGAGUCAUGACAAGAGGUGGUUAGUUUCUGCAUCAGAAGACAGAACAUUAAGGAUCUGGUCAGUCCGCAAUACAGAACCUGCCCUAUUUCUGGGCAAGGAGAUGUUCCAUAAAUCUAUACGCUUUGCACAGUUUUAUUACAUAGAUACAUUUAUAUUGCUGUGUUGUGGAGCUGAAUUUCGUCUGUUAAGUUACUAUCUUGACACAAGCAAGGAUGACCUAAAACGAUAUAAACAGAAGAGCAUUUGCAAAUCAGUACAGAAAUUCCCCAUGGCUUCUACUGUGGAGAUUACCAGCCUUUCAGCAAUAAAUGAUUUCUACUCUUAUAUUAUACUUGCAGCUGGUAGCAACCGAACAUUAGAAGUUUUUGACCUCAAUGCAGGCUGCAGUGCAGCAGUAAUACCAGAUGCUCAUUCUAGAUCAGUCCACCAGAUCUGUCAAAAUAAGGGAUCAGCUUUUAGCACUCAGCCGCUUGAAGCUUACAAUCUUUUCAUGACCACAGCCACUGGUGAUGGCAUCAAACUGUGGGAUUUGAGAACACUGAGGUGUGAACGUCGAUUUGAUGGACAUAUUAACCGCUGCCACCCAUGUGGAAUAGCUGUCACUCCCUGUGGGCAAUUCAUAGCCUGUGGAUCAGAAGAUAAAAGCGCUUACAUAUAUGAGAUGCGUUCGAGUACCUUUUCCCAUAAAUUGGCAGGACACACGGAAUCAGUGAUCAAUGUGGCUUUUAGUCCCUCGUCUCCACAGAAAAUUCAGGGAGCUGCAUACCCUUAUUCUGUAAGGUACAAGGACCACCUAGAUGAUCAUCCCCUGAACUUUGUAAUCCUCAUGACACUGCCUGAAGUCAGACUGAAGUUGAUUUCUACAUUUAAUUUGAACCAGGAAAUACUGUUGCCUUCUAUUUUGUCCUAAUCUGCAGAAUUGCAUCUGGACUGUUCUAGAAAACCUCGUAAAAAGGAAAUGAAUAAAUAACUCACCACAGCCACCUUGGAUGGCAAACUCCAGUUGUUUCUACCUUGAUGCUUGCCAGCCUGUGGAACGCUGGCCUUGGUGCUCUGGAAAUAACAGCUUGCUGAGAGAAAGGAGAUUGGCAACUGUGCAAGCCACAAAAUAUUCGUUUUUAAAUUACAGUUGUAGAAAUAAUGUCACUUACAUUGGAAAAAUAAGGACAAGAUACAGUGUGGUACAAUUGUACUCAUUCAGGCCUCAGUACAGCAAAGGCUUAAGGAUUUAUGUCAAUGGGGCUACUCACAUGCUUAAAGGUAAGCAUGCUUAAAGGCUCUAUUGGAGUCUCUUAUCUGUAGAUUGGUGACACAGUUAAAAUAGAAAGUGAUCCAGGUUUAAAGCUAAAAUUCCUGCCUAUAACAGAAGACUUGAAAUGCUCCUUUUUUUUUUUAAAGGAGAGUUCCUCAUUCUUAAUGAAGUGACAUUAGGAGUCAUGUUGGUCCCUUGUUUAUAUCUAUGCAACUCCCAUGAGGUUACUGGAAGUAACUUGGGUAUAGCAGAAUUUGGUCCUCAUUACUGAGACAAUCUGAUUUACAUCCAUUUUAUUGCAUUCUGUUAUCCCUUGUACCCAUUCUGUUAAGUUGUUAGGGAUGGGGGAAAGACUUUUAUUUUAAAGGCUUUGUCUUCACAGAGCUAACUUGAUAUUUUAGUUUGGUAAUUUACUUAUGUUUAGUUUUGUUGUGACAGUAGGGGUGUGCCCCAUUUCUAGAAACAGAAAAUUUGAAAAGUAUUGAAGUAGAAAAUUAGUUCUGGGAGAAAGCUUUGGGGGUUUUAUUUUAUUUUAUUUUAUUUUUUACAAUCUCUAGCUAUGUUUGCCCUAAUCUUUGAAAAUUCUGAUGUUGGAUGUUGUUUUGAAUAAUAAACUGGUG
This is an RNA transcript of Mauremys mutica (yellowpond turtle), 4134 nucleotides long. It is a transcript of the gene named WD repeat domain 27, with no coding region annotated. The transcript is spliced from 26 exons. The record is from RefSeq and is a predicted model, not a curated record. NCBI's taxonomy places the organism in Eukaryota, Metazoa, Chordata, Testudines, Geoemydidae.